GACGAACGCUGGCGGCGUGCCUAAUACAUGCAAGUAGAACGCUGAAGAGAGGAGCUUGCUCUUCUUGGAUGAGUGGCGAACGGGUGAGUAACGCGUAGGUAACCUGCCUUGUAGCGGGGGGUAACUAUGGGAAACGAUAGCUAAUACCGCAUAACAAUGGAUGACACAUGUCAUUUAUUUGAAAGGGGCAAUUGCUCCACUACAAGAUGGACCUGCGUUGUAUUAGCUAGUAGGUGAGGUAAUGGCUCACCUAGGCGACGAUACAUAGCCGACCUGAGAGGGUGUUCGGCCACACUGGGACUGAGACACGGCCCAGACUCCUACGGGAGGCAGCAGUAGGGAAUCUUCGGCAAUGGGGGCAAACCUGACCGCGCGACGCCGCGUGAGUGAAGAAGGUUUUCGGAUCGUAAAGCUCUGUUGUAAGUCAAGAGCGGGUGUGAGAGUGGAAAGUUCACACUGUGACGGUAGCUUACCAGAUAGGGACGGCUAACUACGUG
RNAcentral lists this ribosomal RNA (497 nucleotides) under uncultured bacterium. RNAcentral describes it as "partial 16S ribosomal RNA". It matches the Rfam family "Bacterial small subunit ribosomal RNA", at positions 28 to 507 of the family's 1533-position model. The record is from RNAcentral.